UACGUAGGUCCCGAGCGUUGUCCGGAUUUAUUGGGCGUAAAGCGAGCGCAGGUGGUUUAUUAAGUCUGGUGUAAAAGGCAGUAGCUCAACCAUUGUAUGCAUUGGAAACUGGUAGACUUGAGUGCAGGAGAGGAGAGUGGAAUUCCAUGUGUAGCGGUGAAAUGCAUAGAUAUAUGGAGGAACACCGGUGGCGAAAGCGGCUCUCUGGCCUGUAACUGACACUGAGGCUCGAAAGCGUGGAGAGCAAACAGG
RNAcentral lists this ribosomal RNA (252 nucleotides) under uncultured bacterium. RNAcentral describes it as "partial 16S ribosomal RNA". It matches the Rfam family "Bacterial small subunit ribosomal RNA", at positions 524 to 776 of the family's 1533-position model. The record is from RNAcentral.